CAGCCGCCGCGGGAACACGGAGGGAGCUAGCGUUGUUCGGAAUUACUGGGCGUAAAGCGCGCGUAGGCGGUUACUCAAGUCAGAGGUGAAAGCCCGGGGCUCAACCCCGGAACUGCCUUUGAAACUAGGUGACUAGAAUCUUGGAGAGGUCAGUGGAAUUCCGAGUGUAGAGGUGAAAUUCGUAGAUAUUCGGAAGAACACCAGUGGCGAAGGCGACUGACUGGACAAGUAUUGACGCUGAGGUGCGAAAGCGUGGGGAGCAAACAGGAUUAGAUACCCCCGUAGUCCCUGUCUCUUAUAC
This 301-nucleotide ribosomal RNA is filed under the name uncultured bacterium. Its description in RNAcentral is "partial 16S ribosomal RNA". It matches the Rfam family "Bacterial small subunit ribosomal RNA", at positions 509 to 807 of the family's 1533-position model. The record is from RNAcentral.